AGCUAAAAAUUGAGAUCUAGGGGGUUUUUCCAGCUCUGUUUUCAUGUGAAUCCCUGGAUGCUCUUGUUGCAUUUGUGCUGGAUCACUUGUGGAAAAGCAGGACUAAUGAGCACAAUAAGGUGAUUACAGAGUUUGGGGAAUGUUGCUUUUUUUUGUUCUUGAGGGGGUUCUGUUUCCUCCUGCUACAGCAGUGCCUGACCUUUCCCCAGCCCCAUCCAUGUACCAGAUUUCCUUUAACUUUCUGUGACUUUAAUUUUGAUCCCCAAAGCCCGAUCAAAACCCAUAUAAAAAUCUAAACUGUGGCAGAUUCUAAUGUCUGUUGGUUUUAUAAAAACAAUCUUAGUGACAGAGAGUAUGAGGAUUCUUUCUAAUCCAAUACAAAAGCAAUUCAACCACUCAGUGCAGUUGAGAGAAAAACAUUUGAUUUCAAGCUCCAUGUGUUUAAUUCUAUAAAUUCUCACUUUGUUCUGUUUUCCCCCUGGUAUUUGGCUGUAAGUAUGAAAGGAUAUCUAUGUAAAUAUGUGCACCUGAGAGAAACCCCAAACCUGCAGACCUUUAGGAGGGGUUAGUGAGAGAAACUCUGCAGCUUCUCUGAUGAUAACAAGCAAGAAACUCAGAAGCUCUUUGUCUGUUGUCCUUGUCUCAGCAGAAUGUUCUUCCCUCUGUUACAUCUCAUUGUCAGCUGGAUCCCAGCUCCUUUGGGACAGGAAUUUUUGGGUUGUACGUAUGCUCAUUGAGAUUUUUUUGUGAAUUUCACUAUCAUUCAUCAAAAUCCCUUAUCUCCAUUGCUGAACCAUAAAUAACACCAUCAAUCAAUGAGAUUAUUACAGAUUAUUGUGACAAUCUCUAAUUUAACUGGGCUCAUUUGAGCUGGUUAGGCACUCACAGGGGGGAGAGGAAAGGAUAAAGGGAAAGAGGAAGAGGAAGGUGGGAAGAGAUGUGUUUUGUCAGGGAAAUGGUGUUUGUUAUUUUACCUGGUUCUGAUAAAGAUGCUUCACCAGCAUAACUACUGAAAUGCAGAUAUUGCUGAAUGAAUAAUAAAAU
This 1044-nucleotide long non-coding RNA is filed under the name Cyanistes caeruleus (blue tit). RNAcentral's name for it is "lncRNA (ENSCCEG00000020458.1)". Lineage: Eukaryota; Metazoa; Chordata; Aves; Passeriformes; Paridae. The record is from RNAcentral.